AGAGUUUGAUCCUGGCUCAGGGUGAACGCUAGCGGCAGGCUUAACACAUGCAAGUCGAGGGGCAGCAGGAGGUGGCAACACCUUGCUGGCGACCGGCGCACGGGUGCGUAACGCGUAUGCAACCUGCCCCGUACAGGGGGAUAACGGAGGGAAACUUCCACUAAUACCCCAUGACGACGCGAGGCCGCAUGGUCGUGCGUCUAAAGCUUUGGCGGUACGGGAUGGGCAUGCGUGGCAUUAGGUAGUUGGCGGGGCAACGGCCCACCAAGCCGACGAUGUCUAGGGGAGCUGAGAGGCUAAUCCCCCACACUGGUACUGAGACACGGACCAGACUCCUACGGGAGGCAGCAGUGAGGAAUAUUGGUCAAUGGGAGGAAUCCUGAACCAGCCAUGCCGCGUGAGGGAGGGAGGCCCUAUGGGUUGUAAACCUCUUUUGCCUUGGGGCAAUAAGGGCGGUGCGCCGUCCGAUGAGAGUACAAGGCGAAUAAGCAUCGGCUAACUCCGUGCCAGCAGCCGCGGUAAUACGGAGGAUGCAAGCGUUAUCCGGAUUUAUUGGGUUUAAAGGGUGCGUAGGCGGGCGCUUAAGUCAGCGGUGAAAUACACCGGCCCAACCGGUGGGCUGCCGUUGAUACUGGGUGCCUUGAGGGCGAGCGGCGCCGGCGGAAUGAGUGGUGUAGCGGUGAAAUGCAUAGAUAUCACUCAGAACACCGAUCGCGAAGGCAGCUGGCGAGGACGCGACUGACGCUGAGGCACGAAAGCGUGGGGAUCAAACAGGAUUAGAUACCCUGGUAGUCCACGCAGUAAACGAUGAUGACUUGUUGUCGGCGAUAUAGUGUCGGUGACAAAGCGAAAGCGAUAAGUCAUCCACCUGGGGAGUACGAUCGCAAGGUUGAAACUCAAAGGAAUUGACGGGGGCCCGCACAAGCGGAGGAGCAUGUGGUUUAAUUCGAUGAUACGCGAGGAACCUUACCUGGACUCAAAUGUUGAGCGACGGGGCCAGAGAUGGCCCUUCCCUUCGGGGCGCUUAGCAAGGUGCUGCAUGGUUGUCGUCAGCUCGUGCCGUGAGGUGUCAGGUUAAGUCCUAUAACGAGCGCAACCCCUACGUCCAGUUGCCAGCGGGUAAAGCCGGGGACUCUGGAGGGACUGCCGGCGCAAGCCGAGAGGAAGGUGGGGAUGACGUCAAAUCAGCACGGCCCUUACGUCCAGGGCGACACACGUGCUACAAUGGCCGGUACAGAGGGCAGCCACCAUGCGAGUGGGAGCGAAUCUCGAAAGCCGGUCUCAGUUCGGAUCGGAGUCUGCAAC
This 1305-nucleotide ribosomal RNA is filed under the name uncultured rumen bacterium. Its description in RNAcentral is "bacterial SSU rRNA". It matches the Rfam family "Bacterial small subunit ribosomal RNA", at positions 8 to 1311 of the family's 1533-position model. The record is from RNAcentral.